CGACUCUUCUUCCGGAAGAAGUCUUCCUUCUUUA
RNAcentral lists this ribosomal RNA (34 nucleotides) under Gomphidius subroseus. Its description in RNAcentral is "partial 28S ribosomal RNA". Lineage: Eukaryota; Fungi; Basidiomycota; Agaricomycetes; Boletales; Gomphidiaceae. The record is from RNAcentral.